GACACCAGUAAGACUUACCAUAAGCUGACUUACAGUGUUCUAAUUUUGUUAUAAAACCGACACCAGUAAGACUUACCCAAAGCUGACUUACAGUGUUCGAAUAUAGUUUUAAUACAAUGUUUUUUGUAAAUGAUAACGAAUUAUGCGACGCAGAAGUAAUAGUAUCCGACAUGGAACAGAACAAGGAAUCAACUGCAGUACUUGGUACAGAUGGCUCAAAGAAAAGGAAGAACUCGACAAAAACCGUAGCUCAAUCGAAGAAGAAAAAGGAGACUCCGGAGCAGAUGACGAAUCUAUUAAAAGAGACGCCAGUGACGAAAUUAUUCAAUUUCUGCGAGAAAAAGAUGGGAAAGAAUAUAAUAACGGAGGACGAUCAAUUGGUGGGACUAUGCGAGAUUAUACAGAACAACAGCGACGGUACGUUCCAUCCGGCAGUUCUUUUGAUUAUUUGGGCAGUACAUUGCCCAAUGUUUGUGGAGACUCUUUAUCAUCCGGUUCGUUGGACAGCGCACAAUAUACAGACAUGGUGGACGGAAUUAGCGAUUAUGCAGUCGGAGGAGAUGACGCAGAUGUUGACCUGUUUGAGGAGGAGUUUGAAGAUGUCGUACAGCAAUAUGCACGUUCAAUCUAUAGUAAACCUGUGUCUGGAAUACACAAGUACAUCUCUUCCCUCAUUGUGCCAGAUGGACCUGAUGGAGUUCAUAGAGCAAUCGAAGAAAUUGAAAAACUUAUUGAGCGAUACCCACCUAAGCACUGGUUCAUCUACUCAAGUCACGGAGAUCAUAUCCACGUGUCCCACAUCUGCCCCAAUUCAAACGAAUCUUGUAGAUGCCAAUGGUUACAGCGAUCGACAGCUUGGGCAAAGUACGGACGACGUCGACUUCGCAGAAUUACUAGGGCAAGUCAACUCCAACCAAUCGACUACACAAACGUACUUAGAUACUUAUCUAAAGCCCCUAGAUUCGUCCACGGAGUUGGUGGCUUCGCAGAAGAUGAGCGAUUACGUGAUCGAUAUAAACAUUUAUCGCAAUACUAGGUGACGUAUGAGAAAAACUUUUUAGUUAAAAAAAAAAUUGGAUUGGAACUAAUAUGCAUAUGAAAAUAGAUUGUUUGUAAUAAUUACACUCUAUUUACAUAUUGUAAUACUAUUACGUGAAUGGUCAACUGGAAGAGAAUUAGUGUUUACAGUAUUUCCCUCCGGAUAUACUUAUAUUCGUAUUAUAAUACCAAUACGUGCUUAUUAAGCAAAGCUUUGACUCCAAAACAACAUUUCCUUUAAGUAUUGUUUUGUUAUAAAAAAAAACCACAGAAAUAUUAUGUUAUUUAUCGAUUAUACAACUAUAAUCAAAAUAUAUUUACCAAUUUAAACUCAGUAUUGCGUUCACACCUAACAUUUGCACAUAGGUGUAAAUCAUUACCACUUAUUUGAUAUCUGUGGGUAAGCCAUUAAUAUAAUUAUACUUAAGAUCAUAUACAUUUUCAAAUCAAACAUCAUGCGUUAGUAAAUAUUAUACACUUAUUUCUAUUAAUAUUUAAAAAUUGAAAAAAAUUAAACCAAACUUUUAGGUCAGUAACACUCCGUAGUCGAGUGAGAUCAGGGACGGAUGAAUUAUCUUAAAAACUUCAAACCGACGUCAUUACUCACGAAAAAAAAAUAACAAUUCUGAGCAAAAGAGAUGGCGUGAAUCAGUUCACGAUUCCAUGAAGAUGUUUGAUAUAGAAUAUAAAAUUAUAUUAUAUAGUAUAUAAUAUAUAUAUUAUAUAGAAUAUAAAAUUAUAUUUCUUAUUAAGAUAAAUUUAACUUUAUGCUUUAACCAGGCGUCUAGUGAUGGAAAAAUUAAUGUGAACAAUGAUUUAUUAUGUGUUAUCAAACCAUUUACGAUUAAAAUUUGGAAAAAAUCGGAAUUUCAAAGAAUUAAAACGGACCACAAAAAUCAAA
This 1939-nucleotide unclassified non-coding RNA is filed under the name Sipha flava (yellow sugarcane aphid). RNAcentral's name for it is "uncharacterized LOC112682895, transcript variant X1". Lineage: Eukaryota; Metazoa; Arthropoda; Insecta; Hemiptera; Aphididae. The record is from RNAcentral.